Long non-coding RNA from Tetranychus urticae (two-spotted spider mite), 1317 nucleotides. RefSeq lists it as uncharacterized. Lineage: Eukaryota; Metazoa; Arthropoda; Arachnida; Trombidiformes; Tetranychidae. The record is from RefSeq and is a predicted model, not a curated record.
CCAUGUAGAUGUUUAGUGAUAAAAUUGAUUGGCUGGUUAAUCAGUAAAGUUGAACAUAUCUCAUUAUCUAGACUAUCAAUGAAUCGUUAAAUUGAAUUUCCUGUUGAUUAAUAAAACUAACAAGUAGAAACAUGAUUCACAUAAUCACUCCUGUUAGCGAUGUUAAUUGUAAAAUGGUUUAUUGUUAUUGUAAAUUUUGCAUCCAGACGUUGGUAAUGACAAAACUGGUAACUUAAAUUACUAAUAUUCCUACUUGUCUCAACUAAUCAGUUCCAGAUGAUAUUCUGGUUAACAACAGAUAACCAAAGUGCACCGCUAAUUGGUAGAGUAAAUAAAUAAAUUAUUGGAAAUAAAUUGUAAGUCAAAUAAAUUUAAAAAUAAUCCAAUUUUCUUACAAGGGUUAAUUAGCAGAUUGUCCCUAAGCCGAUGACACUUUGUUUUCAUUUGUUAUUGUUUCUCCCUCCAUUUUUAUCCAAACCCAUGCAAAUUAAUGAUCGGCUAAUUUUGAAUGUGAACCACACACAAACAUGGUUAAUAAUGAGGAUAAUAAUGAUGAUACAUUAACAAAGGGCGAAGUCACUGGAAAGAGAGAAACUUGUUUUCCAUAAAUUGGCCCAGUUAACAAGGAAAAAAAGCUUAACCAAAAUAAUGGAUAAAUCGGAGUUUCACUUCAUCAUCUUCAUCUUAUUCUGUCCUGCGGUAUUGUUUCAAGCUUAAUCAACCUUUUUCUUUAUCAGCUUCAGGGCACUCCUCAUGGUAAAGCCUAAAUUGUUAUCUCAUGCGUGUCUACAUUUAUCCUGAGCCCGUGACCAGAGUUGACCUGAUUUACGGUUCAACAUGAUGAUGCUUUUCCCAAAAACAGAACCAGAUUUUGUUCAAUGCUAAUUCACAUGAAAGACUAUCUUUUAACAACAUGGCUGAACCUUAUGAAGUGAUGAACAUUCUAGCCAACAUCUCCAUCAACUCUUUUAUUUCCACCCUCAAUCAGUUCUUGCAACUAAAUGAAUUGGGUUAAGAUUGGGUGAUUGAGGACCUCAAGUAAUCAAGUUUACAAUGAAUCAAAUUCAAAGCAACAAUUGGUCUGCAGAUUAAGAUUAAUGCAUUCACAUUGGACUCAUCUUUUCGAGUCUUCCUAAUUAUUUUAAUGAUGAUUUCAACUGUCGUUAUUAUAAUCAUGUUCAAGUUUCCCUGUUUUUCACCAACUCAAUUGGUUAAUCAAUUGAUUUGUUGUUGGACUAGUUUCACCUUUUUGCUGGUAAAUUUAAACUGAUGCUUAUCAUUAUUAUUAGUCACAUUAAAGUUGUUGGAAUAAUUGUA